AACCCACUCGGGUCCCCUUCCACACUGUGGAAGCUUCGUUCUUUCGCUCUUUGCAAUAAAUCUUGCUACUGCUCGCUGUUUGGGUCCACACUGCCUUUAUGAGCUGUAACACUCACCGCGAACAUCUGCAGCUUCACUCCUGAAGCCAGCGAGACCACGAGCCCACCGGGAGGAAUGAACAACUCCAGACGCGCCGCUUCCAGAGCUGUAACACUCACCGCAAAAGUCUGCAGCUUCACUCCUGAGCCAGCGAGACCACGAACACACCAGAAGGAAGAAACUCCGAACACAUCCGAACAUCAAAAGGAACAAACUCCAGACGCGCCACCUUAAGAGCUGUAACACUCAACGCAAGGGUCCGCGGCUUCAUUCUUGAAGUCAGUGAGACCAAGAACCCACCAUUUCCGGACGCAAUGGGAGUAUUUACAUCACAGGAAUUGGCACACACUACAAACUGGUUUUUCCCUUGGAGAGCCAGUUGUUAAGCAUUUACCUGCUCACCAUGGCCAACUCAUUAGGCUUCCUCAGUCCACCUUCUUCCCAUGAACUCAUCUCACAUGACUUCCGGGUUACCAGAUGGAUGAAAGUACUGUUUGUGGCUGAAAGUUGUAACGAGGGGAGUUGUGCCAACUGUUGAUGUAGAGCUUGACAAGGCCUUAGCCGCAUUACUGUUCCACACUGAAGGGGGCACAGGCAAGAGAAUCUCUGGGUCUUGCUCGGUCACCCACACUGACAAUGGAGUGCAGUGGCAUGACCUUGGCUCACUGCAACCUCAGCCUCCCAGGCUGAAGCGAUCCUCUCACCUCAGCCUCCUGAGUAGCUGGGACUACAGGCAUGUGCUACUAUGCCCAGGGGGAGACAGGAUCUCACUCCUGUCACCCAGGCAGGAGUGCAGUGGCACACUCACGGCUCAUUACAGCCUCUUGACCUCCUAGGCUCAAGCGAUCCUCCCACCUCUUUUUUUUUUUUUUUUUUUUGUAGAUGUGAGGUCUCAUUAUGUUGCCCAGGUUGGUCUCAAACUGCUGGACUCAAGCCAUCCUCCUGCCUCAGCCUCCCAAAGUGCUUGGGUUACAGGACUGAGCCACUGAGCCCAGUCUUUCCAUUUUCUUAAUGGUGGUUUUGAAAAGCAAAUAUUUUAAAUUGAGACGAAAUCCAAUUUAUCUCUUUUUUCUAUUAUAGAUUGUGCUUUUGGUGUCAUAUCUAAGAAAUUUCUUCCUAACCAAAGGUCACGAAGAUGUUCUCCACUGCUUUUUUCUAGAUGCUUUAUGAAUUCAACUCUUACAUUUGGGUCUAUGAUCCAUUUUGAGUUAAUAUUUUACACAGUGUGAGGUCAGGGUGGACGUUUCUUAUUAUUUAUGGCAUAAGAAUAUUCAGUGGUUCCAGCACCACUUGUUGAAGAGACUAUCCCUUUUCCUUCCAAUGGCCUUGGCACCUUUGUAAUAAAUCAAUUGAUGAUAU
Long non-coding RNA from Pan troglodytes (chimpanzee), 1458 nucleotides. RefSeq lists it as uncharacterized. The record is from RefSeq and is a predicted model, not a curated record. NCBI's taxonomy places the organism in Eukaryota, Metazoa, Chordata, Mammalia, Primates, Hominidae. The transcript has 3 exons.